GUGACUUUAUAAAUCAUAACACUCAACCGUUUUCUCAAAAAAGGAAAAAGAAAAUCAUAACCUUCAAAAGAGAAAAAAAUGCAGUCCAUGCUAAAUCUCCAUGGAACCUAUGGCCUACCUCUUUCUGUUUUAGGAAUCACUCACUGUCUCACUCUUUCUAGAGAAAUGGCAGAUCAGGAUCGCAGACGACAGGCACUAAAUAAACGAAGAUCACAAGUUAGAGAGGGUAUGCAUGCAAAUCAAGAAAUGGGUAUUGAAAGAAUUAUCCAAGAGGGUGAGAAUGAGAUAGAUGGAGAUCUAACUAUUGUUUUACAGGAUCUAUCUUCUUCUUCGACAGCAAAGGCUGCAUAACUUUUGGUUUUUUUAAUUAGUGAUAUUAUUAUUAAAUAUUUAUUGUAUGCUUUUAAUCUAUUUUCUCUUUAAUUUAGCAAUAUUAAGUACAGUUUUAUUUUUUUUUCUGUGAUGUUUAUUGUUUGGUUUGAUAUGAAUAUGAUAUUCCGAAUGUGUUCCUUUCUGUUA
Molecule: non-coding RNA, 519 nt
Organism: Jatropha curcas
Lineage: Eukaryota; Viridiplantae; Streptophyta; Magnoliopsida; Malpighiales; Euphorbiaceae
Source: RefSeq, a predicted model, not a curated record